UGCAGUCGAACGAUGAACCACUUCGGUGGGGAUUAGUGGCGAACGGGUGAGUAACACGUGGGCAAUCUGCCCUGCACUCUGGGACAAGCCCUGGAAACGGGGUCUAAUACCGGAUACUGACCCUCGCAGGCAUCUGCGAGGUUCGAAAGCUCCGGCGGUGCAGGAUGAGCCCGCGGCCUAUCAGCUUGUUGGUGAGGUAAUGGCUCACCAAGGCGACGACGGGUAGCCGGCCUGAGAGGGCGACCGGCCACACUGGGACUGAGACACGGCCCAGACUCCUACGGGAGGCAGCAGUGGGGAAUAUUGCACAAUGGGCGAAAGCCUGAUGCAGCGACGCCGCGUGAGGGAUGACGGCCUUCGGGUUGUAAACCUCUUUCAGCAGGGAAGAAGCGAAAGUGACGGUACCUGCAGAAGAAGCGCCGGCUAACUACGUGCCAGCAGCCGCGGUAAUACGUAGGGGCGCAAGCGUUGUCCGGAAUUAUUUGGGGCGUAAAGAGCUCGUAGGCGGGCUUGUUCGCGUC
RNAcentral lists this ribosomal RNA (521 nucleotides) under Streptomyces sp. RNAcentral describes it as "bacterial SSU rRNA". It matches the Rfam family "Bacterial small subunit ribosomal RNA", at positions 56 to 591 of the family's 1533-position model. The record is from RNAcentral. Lineage: Bacteria; Bacillati; Actinomycetota; Actinomycetes; Kitasatosporales; Streptomycetaceae.